Molecule: ribosomal RNA, 763 nt
Filed under: uncultured Streptococcus sp.
Lineage: Bacteria; Bacillati; Bacillota; Bacilli; Lactobacillales; Streptococcaceae
Description: bacterial SSU rRNA
Rfam family: Bacterial small subunit ribosomal RNA
Source: RNAcentral
GACGAACGCUGGCGGCGUGCCUAAUACAUGCAAGUAGAACGCUGAAGGAGGAGCUUGCUUCUCCGGAUGAGUUGCGAACGGGUGAGUAACGCGUAGGUAACCUGCCUGGUAGCGGGGGAUAACUAUUGGAAACGAUAGCUAAUACCGCAUAAGAGUAGAUGUUGCAUGACAUUUGCUUAAAAGGUGCAAUUGCAUCACUACCAGAUGGACCUGCGUUGUAUUAGCUAGUUGGUGGGGUAACGGCUCACCAAGGCGACGAUACAUAGCCGACCCGAGAGGGUGAUCGGCCACACUGGGACUGAGACACGGCCCAGACUCCUACGGGAGGCAGCAGUAGGGAAUCUUCGGCAAUGGGCGGAAGUCUGACCGAGCAACGCCGCGUGAGUGAAGAAGGUUUUCGGAUCGUAAAGCUCUGUUGUAAGAGAAGAACGAGUGUGAGAGUGGAAAGUUCACACUGUGACGGUAUCUUACCAGAAAGGGACGGCUAACUACGUGCCAGCAGCCGCGGUAAUACGUAGGUCCCGAGCGUUGUCCGGAUUUAUUGGGCGUAAAGCGAGCGCAGGCGGUUAGAUAAGUCUGAAGUUAAAGGCUGUGGCUUAACCAUAGUACGCUUUGGAAACUGUUUAACUUGAGUGCAAGAGGGGAGAGUGGAAUUCCAUGUGUAGCGGUGAAAUGCGUAGAUAUAUGGAGGAACACCGGUGGCGAAAGCGGCUCUCUGGCUUGUAACUGACGCUGAGGCUCGAAAGCGUGGGGAGCAAACAGG